CUACUUUCCCAGAGUAGGAUGAUCAGGAACAGCUAGCAUGAUAACUGUUCCUGUAGACUCCCCAAUGUAAUUUUAUUUUUAUUUGCAGAACCCCUGCAAUACCGCCGCAGGCCCCAGUUUGAAAACCCUUGAUGUAGAGCACUGCAAAGCACAAACAAGACAGAUUGGAGGAUCUUCCAGCUUUCCUGAACGUGAAAGCACACAGACGGAUUACCUGACAGUCUCCUGUAGAAUUCUCUGAUACAGAGCAGAAUUCGUAGCUCCUUCAAUUAUGCAAGUCGUCCAGGUCCUGAGGCAGCAAAGCAUCCCACUACCACCACCAUGCUUGACAGUUGGUUUAAGGUUCUUACUGUGAAAUGCAUUGUUUGAUUUUGACCAGCCAAAAUGUUGACUCAAGUUUGUCAAAAAGCAUCUGGAAGCACCUGGAUGAUGAUCAAGACUCAUGGAAGAAUUUUCUAUGGACAGACGAUUCAAACAUAUACCUUUUCGGAUGAAAUGGGUCCUAUUAUGCCUGGUCACUUACACUGUACUUUUAAUGUUAUCUCAACUGCAAUCCUGGUCAUUUGGUUGUGCUAUUAGAAGAAGCACAGUGAUAACACAUUACAUUUUUGUAUAAAUACAAAAUAUCUGACAUUGUAUUUACAUUUGAACUUUGUUGUGCUUUUAAAUGGUUGAAAGCGCAGUGAUAGUACAUUUACAUAAUGACAACUAAUUUUAAAAAUCUUAUAGUUUUUCCAUUGGAAUUUGGUUGUGCUUUUAGAUGGUUGGAAGUGAUAACACAUUGGGAAUUCAACACACUUCUGGCUGUCAUUUUGAGAGGGUGAAUAAAGGUUGAAAUCUCAUUGAUCAACGUCAAUCAAACA
This is a long non-coding RNA of Oncorhynchus tshawytscha (Chinook salmon), 863 nucleotides long. Lineage: Eukaryota; Metazoa; Chordata; Actinopteri; Salmoniformes; Salmonidae. The record is from Ensembl.